UGCUUAGAUGGACCUUUAUCAGUCCCACGAGCA
This 33-nucleotide transfer RNA is filed under the name Antechinomys laniger. RNAcentral's name for it is "partial tRNA-Phe". Lineage: Eukaryota; Metazoa; Chordata; Mammalia; Dasyuromorphia; Dasyuridae. The record is from RNAcentral.